Molecule: ribosomal RNA, 34 nt
Filed under: Anethum foeniculum (fennel)
Lineage: Eukaryota; Viridiplantae; Streptophyta; Magnoliopsida; Apiales; Apiaceae
Description: partial 18S ribosomal RNA
Source: RNAcentral
CUUCUCGUAGGGUGAACCUGCGGAAGGAUCAUUG